GGAGUUUGGACCGUGUCUCAGUUCCAAUGUGGGGGACCUUCCUCUCAGAACCCCUACUGAUCGCAGGCUUGGUGGGCCGUUACCCCGCCAACAACCUAAUCAGACGCAUCCCCAUCCCAUAGCGGUGAACCUUUGGUAUUCCUCAGAUGUCAUCAAAAUACAACAUAGAGUAUUAAUCCGACUUUCGCCGGGCUAUCCUCUACUAAGGGGAAGGUUGGAUACGCGUUACUCACCCGUGCGCCGGUCGCCAGCGGCAAUAGCAAGCUAUCGCCCUGCUGCCCCUCGACUUGCAUGUGUUAAGCCUGUAGCUAGCGUUCAUC
RNAcentral lists this ribosomal RNA (320 nucleotides) under uncultured Prevotella sp. RNAcentral's name for it is "partial 16S ribosomal RNA". Lineage: Bacteria; Pseudomonadati; Bacteroidota; Bacteroidia; Bacteroidales; Prevotellaceae. The record is from RNAcentral.